RNAcentral lists this ribosomal RNA (497 nucleotides) under uncultured bacterium. RNAcentral's name for it is "partial 16S ribosomal RNA". It matches the Rfam family "Bacterial small subunit ribosomal RNA", at positions 28 to 507 of the family's 1533-position model. The record is from RNAcentral.
GACGAACGCUGGCGGCGUGCUUAACACAUGCAAGUCGAACGGUGAAGCGCCUUCCUUUUUGGUGGGUGUGGAUGAGUGGCGAAGGGGUGAGUAACACGUGAGUAACCUGCCCCCUUCUGCUGGAUAACCGCAUGAAAGUGUUGCUAAUACGGGAUAUUCUGGGUCUGUCGCAUGAUGGGUCUGGGAAAGAUUUUGUUUCGGUUGGGGAUGGGCUCGCGGCGUAUCAGCUUGUUGGUGGGGUGAUGGCCUACCAAGGCGGCGACGGGUAGCCGGCCUGAGAGGGGGGUGGGCGGCACUGGAGGUGAGAAGCGGCCGCGACGCCUACGGGGGGAGGCAGUAGGGAAGAUUCCGGAACGGGGGGAAGCAUGACGGAGCAGCGCCGCGUGAGGGGGGAUGGUCGUCGGCGGGUAAUAAUCUUUUUUUGGGGGAGAACAAGUGUGGCAUUGUCUGUGGGCGGCUUGACGGUACCUGAUCAGGAAGCCCCGGCUAACUACGUG